GACGAACCGUGCAAACGUUAUUCGGAAUCACUGGGCUUAAAGCGUGCGUAGGCGGCUGAGAAAGUUGGGUGUGAAAUCCCUCGGCUCAACCGAGGAAUUGCGCUCAAAACUACUUGGCUUGAGGGAGUUAGAGGUGAGCGGAACUAAUGGUGGAGCGGUGAAAUGCGUUGAUAUCAUUAGGAACACCGGUGGCGAAAGCGGCUCACUGGGACUCUUCUGACGCUGAGGCACGAAAGCUAGGGUAGCGAACGGG
Molecule: ribosomal RNA, 253 nt
Filed under: uncultured bacterium
Lineage: Bacteria
Description: partial 16S ribosomal RNA
Rfam family: Bacterial small subunit ribosomal RNA
Source: RNAcentral